This 321-nucleotide ribosomal RNA is filed under the name Triticum aestivum (bread wheat). Its description in RNAcentral is "partial small subunit ribosomal RNA". The record is from RNAcentral. Lineage: Eukaryota; Viridiplantae; Streptophyta; Magnoliopsida; Poales; Poaceae.
AUGUCCUCUGUGCUUGCCUACAUUUUAUAUCAACUGAAGAAAAACAAAGAGAGCACCUGCCAUCUUCUAGGCAAUAGAAUAUGUUUUCCCGGCAAUACGAUGUGUUCUUCUAGCUUUUUGAUCUGUUACUAUAAGCGGGAGUUACAAAUGAUAUCUCUAGAAUAUAUGGUAGUACAAGUCUGUAUUUUUCUGCAAAUCCCUCAUGCUAUUCUUAGUGCUGCUAAAAAGUCGGUUAAGUUCAGUCAAAAGUUUGCUCUAUUAUCUCUGCUGGGAUUUGUUCCUACAUUUUUGCUUGAGAUAUCUGUUGUCGUACAGAUUUAG